GAACCAUUGAGGGUGACCAAAACCAGCAUCACUCUCUUGCUACCUCCCAGCCGUUGGUGGUGCAAGUGGCUUGCAGCAGAAGCUGGAGCCCUUUGUCACACCUGGCCCAGGAUUUUGGAGAAGUAGAAGAAGGAGACUCAACAAGAGUUGGAGGGACUGUAGGCUCAGUUUCUGCCUGGAAGAUGCUCAUUUCUAGGGUAGCCUGGAGAAGUUGAAGAAGGAAAUCUGGCAGGAACAGCAAGAAAUGCUGGCCAACAAGGACUGGAUUCGGAGAAAAUGUGAUGAGAUCAAAACAAUGAACAAAGGAAAAUUGUCCUUAAAGUUAAUCCCAGCUUUUUCGGUGUGGAUUGAUUAGAUGAAUUCUGACUACCUUAAUUCAAGACUUUUUUCGAUGAUCCAACAAGCACGACUGAGCGACUGAACUGAACUGAACUGAUGACAGACAUGGAUGUCAAAUCAUGGCCAUGCCUUGUGAUAUGCAGGAUCUAGUUCACUGACCAGGGAUCAAAUCAUAGCCCCCUGUAUUGGGAACACAGACUCUUAACCACUGAACCACCAG
This is a long non-coding RNA of Dama dama (fallow deer), 559 nucleotides long. RefSeq lists it as uncharacterized. Lineage: Eukaryota; Metazoa; Chordata; Mammalia; Artiodactyla; Cervidae. The transcript is spliced from 4 exons. The record is from RefSeq and is a predicted model, not a curated record.